This 253-nucleotide ribosomal RNA is filed under the name uncultured bacterium. RNAcentral describes it as "partial 16S ribosomal RNA". It matches the Rfam family "Bacterial small subunit ribosomal RNA", at positions 524 to 776 of the family's 1533-position model. The record is from RNAcentral.
GACGUAGGAGGCGAGCGUUAUCCGGAUUCACUGGGCGUAAAGCGCAUGUAGGCGGUUGCACAAGUCCGUUGGUAAAGCCCCUGGCUCAACUGGGGGAGGUCAAUGGAGACUGUGCGACUUGAGGGCAAUAGAGGCACGUGGAACUCCCGGUGUAGCGGUGGAAUGCGUAGAGAUCGGGAAGAACACCAGUGGCGAAGGCGACGUGCUGGGUUGCACCUGACGCUGAGAUGCGAAAGUGUGGGGAGCAAACGGG